RNA transcript from Prunus mume (Japanese apricot), 671 nucleotides. It is a transcript of the gene named protein NUCLEAR FUSION DEFECTIVE 6, mitochondrial, with no coding region annotated. The record is from RefSeq and is a predicted model, not a curated record. NCBI's taxonomy places the organism in Eukaryota, Viridiplantae, Streptophyta, Magnoliopsida, Rosales, Rosaceae.
UAGACAUACACACGCAUACAUGAGACCGCCACUCUAAUGUCCCAAAACCUUCACCCAAGUCCUCGUCAAAUCCUAAAACCCCAAAAACCACACCAUCAGCCAUGGCUUCCUUCGCCGCCAGGUCUGUCCUCCGCUCCACCGCGGCUCGAGCCACCGUCGGCUCGAGGCUCGCUUCGGCCGCCAGACCCAAACCAGCCUCCUCGCCUUUUCGCAUCCCCAAACUAAACCAAAGCUCCACCUCUCCUCGCAUUUUCAGGUCGCCUGUGGAGUUGAGCUGCUGUGUGGAGACGAUGCUUCCGUACCACACAGCCACUGCCUCUGCAUUGCUCACUUCGAUGCUCUCUGUCUCUCAGCGCUCCUACGGUUGGACCCCUGAAGAUUGCAAUGAUGAUGUAUGAUGAAUAUCAGAGGGUUCGAGCAAAGUUUUAUGUACUUGCGCCCUAAGACAAGGGCUGUGAUGAUUCCUCAUUAGCAGACUUCAGACUUUGGCUUGGAGACUUACCAUGUUUCAAUUCUGUUUACCUUGCUUAUAAAGUUUCAGUUGUGAACGUUGUUGUUAUUUACUUAGAAACUAAUGUCUAAACUGACUCGUGCUUUUGUCUCAUUAUGCAUUACGUUUUCAUCUGAACUGCAAAUUAUGGUUAAAAUGGUUCCAAAUUUCUCAGUCUUCA